Rhinopithecus roxellana (golden snub-nosed monkey) is the source of this 317-nucleotide unclassified non-coding RNA. Its record names the gene 7SK. It matches the Rfam family "7SK RNA". From Rfam's summary of the family: 7SK was discovered as an abundant small nuclear RNA in the mid-70s but a possible function has only recently been suggested. Two independent studies have found that 7SK RNA binds the CDK9/cyclin T complex (known as elongation factor P-TEFb). The record is from Ensembl. Lineage: Eukaryota; Metazoa; Chordata; Mammalia; Primates; Cercopithecidae.
AUAUCUUAGGAUUAUUUGGCUAUGGCAUCUCUGACUGUUGAUUGUUAAAUUGAAUUUAGCUGACCAGGGUAGUUGGGUGGAAAUCUCCUUCCUUCUUUCCUCACUGAUCCACCCGUAUCCCUACUAAAGUUUCAAUCUUAGAAGAAGCCAACCUUCACUUAUAGAGGACUAUUGUUUGGUCAAGGAUAUGUGAAGCUACAUGUUAUGCCUGAAAACAGGUACAUUUUUUAUCCUUUCUCCAGUGGUUUGGGAAUUCAGUGAAAUAACAACCACUUUCUAUAUUAUGAAAAGAUGGGCCUUGCCACUCACUUUGGGUG